UACAGAGGGUGCGAGCGUUAAUCGGAAUUACUGGGCGUAAAGCGUGCGUAGACGGUUGUCUAAGUCGGAUGUGAAAUCCCCGGGCUCAACCUGGGAAUUGCAUUCGAGACUGAACAGCUAGGGUGCGGAAGAGGGAAGCGGAAUUUCCGGUGUAGCAGUGAAAUGCGUAGAUAUCGGAAGGAACAUCAGUGGCGAAAGCGGCUUCCUGGUCCAGCACCGACGUUCAGGCACGAAAGCGUGGGGAGCAAACAGG
Molecule: ribosomal RNA, 253 nt
Filed under: uncultured bacterium
Lineage: Bacteria
Description: partial 16S ribosomal RNA
Rfam family: Bacterial small subunit ribosomal RNA
Source: RNAcentral